This 103-nucleotide microRNA precursor is filed under the name Acyrthosiphon pisum (pea aphid). Its description in RNAcentral is "mir-277 microRNA precursor family". It matches the Rfam family "mir-277 microRNA precursor family". The record is from Rfam by way of RNAcentral. Lineage: Eukaryota; Metazoa; Arthropoda; Insecta; Hemiptera; Aphididae.
GGGUGCUCGAAGACCGUACCAGAAGUGUUUUUGACAUGGACACACGGUUUUCGCCGUUCCCAAAUCAUGUAAAUGCACUAUCUGGUACGACACUUCGGCGCCC